Molecule: ribosomal RNA, 253 nt
Filed under: uncultured bacterium
Lineage: Bacteria
Description: partial 16S ribosomal RNA
Rfam family: Bacterial small subunit ribosomal RNA
Source: RNAcentral
GACGUAGGGCGCGAGCGUUGUCCGGAUUUAUUGGGCGUAAAGAGCUCGUAGGCGGCUUGUUGCGUCGACUGUGAAAACCCGCGGCUUAACUGCGGGCUUGCAGUUGAUACGGGCAGGCUAGAGUUCGGUAGGGGAGACUGGAAUUCCUGGUGUAGCGGUGGAAUGCGCAGAUAUCAGGAGGAACACCGAUGGCGAAGGCAGUUCUCUGGGCCGUAACUGACGCUGAGGAGCGAAAGCGUGGGGAGCGAACAGG